Molecule: ribosomal RNA, 433 nt
Filed under: uncultured bacterium
Lineage: Bacteria
Description: bacterial SSU rRNA
Rfam family: Bacterial small subunit ribosomal RNA
Source: RNAcentral
UCGAGGAUCUUCGGCAAUGGGCGCAAGCCUGACCGAGCGACGCCGCGUGUGCGAUGAAGGCCUUCGGGUUGUAAAGCACUGUCGAGGGGGAGGAAAGCCGAAAGGUCUGACCUAUCCCUGGAGGAAGCACGGGCUAAGUUCGUGCCAGCAGCCGCGGUAAGACGAACCGUGCGAACGUUGUUCGGAAUCACUGGGCUUAAAGGGCGCGUAGGCGGCUGGCAAAGUCCGGGGUGAAAGCCCCCAGCUUAACUGGGGAAGUGCCUCGGAUACUGGUCAGCUCGAGGGAGGUAGGGGCGGAUGGAACUUCCGGUGGAGCGGUGAAAUGCGUUGAUAUCGGAAGGAACGCCGGUGGCGAAAGCGAUCCGCUGGCCCUCUACUGACGCUGAGGCGCGAAAGCCAGGGGAGCAAACGGGAUUAGAUACCCCCGUAGUCC